Molecule: ribosomal RNA, 596 nt
Filed under: uncultured bacterium
Lineage: Bacteria
Description: bacterial SSU rRNA
Rfam family: Bacterial small subunit ribosomal RNA
Source: RNAcentral
ACGCCCUAAACGAUGUCGACUAGUUGUCGGGGAUUUACAUCCUCGGUAACGCAGCUAACGCGUGAAGUCGACCGCCUGGGGAGUACGGUCGCAAGAUUAAAACUCAAAGGAAUUGACGGGGACCCGCACAAGCGGUGGAUGAUGUGGAUUAAUUCGAUGCAACGCGAAAAACCUUACCUACCCUUGACAUGCCCGGAAUCUCGCAGAGAAGUGAGAGUGCCCGAAAGGGAGCCGGGACACAGGUGCUGCAUGGCUGUCGUCAGCUCGUGUCGUGAGAUGUUGGGUUAAGUCCCGCAACGAGCGCAACCCUUGUCACUAGUUGCUACGAAAGGGCACUCUAGUGAGACUGCCGGUGACAAACCGGAGGAAGGUGGGGAUGACGUCAAGUCCUCACGGCCCUUAUGGGUAGGGCUUCACACGUCAUACAAUGGCCGGUACAAAGGGCUGCCAACCCGCGAGGGGGAGCCAAUCCCAGAAAACCGGUCGUAGUCCGGAUUGCAGUCUGCAACUCGACUGCAUGAAGUCGGAAUCGCUAGUAAUCGCGGAUCAGCAUGUCGCGGUGAAUACGUUCCCGGGUCUUGUACACACCGCCCGUC